This 1008-nucleotide long non-coding RNA is filed under the name Salmo trutta (river trout). RNAcentral's name for it is "lncRNA (ENSSTUG00000023099.1)". Lineage: Eukaryota; Metazoa; Chordata; Actinopteri; Salmoniformes; Salmonidae. The record is from RNAcentral.
AUACAGUCAUUGAAUCCAACUAAAUCCUCUUCACUCGGCGACGGUUCACUGUGGCCUGCCUGGAGAUGUAGACAUUGCAGGGAGCUAGUCUGUCUGUCUGUCCUCCUAGGUGUGUCUCCAGAACAAUGUUUUCCCAUUCUGUGUUUGCACCUGGCAUGCUUCUACGAGACAGGUGCUCCUCCAUGUUUUUCCCCCCCUCUUUUUAUAUCGGUAUUUGCAGAGAGAUUAGGAGCCAUACUUUUGACUAAUACAUGGCAUUACUCAUAUCGGUGCACGCACUCAAACACAAAGGAAAACACACACGCAAGUGUGUACACCGGGCACGUUGGCACGCGCACAAACUAUCUAUCCAGUGUGUGUGUGUGUGUGUGUGUGUGUCUGUGUGUGUGUGUGUGUGUGUGUGUGUGUGUGUGUGUGUGUGUGUGUGUGUGUGUGUGUGUGUGUGUGUGUGUUGUUGUCAGGCGUCCUGCAGCCCCUCGCAGCUGUGGAGACGGCAGUGUGUCUGAGAGGUGUGUCGCCACAGGCAAAGUCCAGGGACAGGGUGACCACACAAUGUCCCACACCAAGGAUGGUUCCAGGUCACCAUCGUCAUGGAUCAGUGAUUCCAGCCCAUCAGGCAUCAUAUCCGGGUCCACCAGUUCCCAAUGCGAGUCCUGCUGUGGCCCCAGCCCAGACCAGGGGGUUCCAGUGAAGGAGGAGCCUGGUUGCCCUGAUCGGGGGGAGCGAGGCUGGCCUUCCACUGGGGGCAGGAGAAGGCCCGGGAUGCUGGAGUGCAUAAUGAGGGAGAAGGAGCGAAAAAGGGAGGAGAGAAAGACAAAGGUGCUAAACAUCUACUCCAGACUCCAGGACAGCGGGCCCCUCCAGCCCAGCCGCAACAGGGGCCGCUCCAGGUUUGAGGACUGUGAGUGUAUAAGUGGAUCCAUCCACCCUCACACAUUUAAAACCCAAAACUGCCAACCGACACAUACUGAUCUGCCCACUGCCUCUUACCGUAAGGGAGCAUGUUAG